UCAGAGAAAAAAAGCAAAAAAAAAAACCUAAAGCCCUCCUCUUCUUGUCCUCCGUUGAAGCUGCUGUCGCCGAACUCAAAAUCCGAUUUGAUCGAUCUCUUCCUUGACCCACAGAAAGAGUCUCUUCGGCCACCGUCGCCCAGGGCCCUCCGAUUCAGGUCCAGCAGAGCUGCAACGAAGAUGGAUGCCACUAAGUGCCAUACCGCCAGGAGCCACACGUUCUACAAGCGCAGCAUCUUCACAGGCAACACUACUACAGCCAGCAAAGCUCUCGAUGCAUUGCUGAGUGCUCCUGAAAGAGAAUCCCAGCCACACCUCCACCCAAGUAAACUCAAUGGAGCUUUAUGGUUUGGUGUUGACCCUUCUGUCUACAAGUUUGUUCGAACAACAUGGAAAGCAAAUAGACGUUCCUGAUGAGAGGACAGAUCUUUGGUGGCAAACUUUUGUGCAACACUACUACUGGGAACGGUGAUGGAAGAGCUGGUUGCAUCACGACAAGCACUUAAUCUGUUCAUGCAGUCUCUUGGAAUUAGACAACCCUCUGCUGCUGUUGCUGCUCCUGCUACAACUUCUGCUGCUGCUCAUGCUCCAGCUUCUACAACUCCUGCUUCUUCUCCAGCUACUGCUUUUCCUGCUCCUUCUCCAGCUACUGCUUCUCCUGCUCCAGCUUCUACAACUCCUGUUCCAGCUUCACACCAAGGCAACUUAGAUGCUUGGUGUGCAUCAUUUGGUAUUUAACUUUCAAAGAUUGUUAAGCAUUUUUUGUUAAAACUUUCUAACGGAUAGACUGUUAUUUAGCAAAUCUUUUGGUAGAAUGUAAGUAGUUUGAUGUUUACUACUUAUUGUUAUUUAGUAACUCUUUUUGGUAUGUAAGAUAAGAGUAAUUGUUGUUUAGCAAGACUUUUUGGUAAUAUGUAAACAUCAAACUACUUCUGGUAAUGAAAAAUAUCGGUAUUUGGAUUUCA
Non-coding RNA from Camelina sativa (false flax), 965 nucleotides. Lineage: Eukaryota; Viridiplantae; Streptophyta; Magnoliopsida; Brassicales; Brassicaceae. The record is from RefSeq and is a predicted model, not a curated record.